UACGUAGGGGGCGAGCGUUGUCCGGAUUUAUUGGGCGUAAAGAGCUCGUAGGCGGUUUGGCAAGUCGGGUGUGAAAACUCCGGGCUCAACUCGGAGACGCCACUCGAUACUGCUAUGACUCGAGUCCGGUAGGGGGGUGCGGAAUUCCUGGUGUAGCGGUGAAAUGCGCAGAUAUCAGGAGGAACACCGGUGGCGAAGGCGGCACUCUGGGCCGGUACUGACGCUGAGGAGCGAAAGCGUGGGGAGCGAACAGG
RNAcentral lists this ribosomal RNA (254 nucleotides) under uncultured bacterium. RNAcentral describes it as "partial 16S ribosomal RNA". It matches the Rfam family "Bacterial small subunit ribosomal RNA", at positions 524 to 776 of the family's 1533-position model. The record is from RNAcentral.